Molecule: non-coding RNA, 125 nt
Organism: Solanum lycopersicum (tomato)
Lineage: Eukaryota; Viridiplantae; Streptophyta; Magnoliopsida; Solanales; Solanaceae
Source: Rfam
GAGCAAAGGUGUCUCUCAAAAAUGACACUCAUUUGCAUUGAAGGUUGGCUAUAUACAUAGCAAUUCUCCGUGCCUUUCAAGCUUUUUUCUUGUAUUGAUUAUGGCCUCGAACAAAUUGCUAUAUC